This 267-nucleotide long non-coding RNA is filed under the name Hordeum vulgare. RNAcentral's name for it is "long non-coding RNA (HVUL_LNC018237)". The record is from RNAcentral. Lineage: Eukaryota; Viridiplantae; Streptophyta; Magnoliopsida; Poales; Poaceae.
UAGAUAGUCUGUCCACUAUAUUGUGAAUGACAAUGUCAAAAGUUGUGGCCGUAGUGAUAGUUCUUAGUUUGAUGAUGAUCAUCACGGUCGUGCACAAGGAGCGAGCACUGACAGCUGUUCCAAUAGAAGAAACCAGUGAAGGAUGGGUGCGCUAUUCGGUGACUACAUCGCCGACAACCAACGAAGCUAAUAAAUCAUGUGGUGGUCAGGAGCCCCCACCAAAAUGUCAUCAUCCACCUUCCCCUGUUUACUAGUACAGUAGUAUUU